GACGAACGCUGGCGGCGUGCUUAACACAUGCAAGUCGAACGGAAAGGCCCUGCUUUUGUGGGGUGCUCGAGUGGCGAACGGGUGAGUAACACGUGAGUAACCUGCCCUUGACUUUGGGAUAACUUCAGGAAACUGGGGCUAAUACCGGAUAGGAGCUCCUGCUGCAUGGUGGGGGUUGGAAAGUUUCGGCGGUUGGGGAUGGACUCGCGGCUUAUCAGCUUGUUGGUGGGGUAGUGGCUUACCAAGGCUUUGACGGGUAGCCGGCCUGAGAGGGUGACCGGCCACAUUGGGACUGAGAUACGGCCCAGACUCCUACGAGAGGCAGCAGUGGGGAAUAUUGCACAGUGGGCGGAAGACUGAUGCAGCAACGCCGCGUGCGGGAUGACGGCCUUCGGGUUGUAAACCGCUUUCGCCUGUGACGAAGCGUGAGUGACGGUAAUGGGUAAAGAAGCACCGGCUAACUACGUG
This 468-nucleotide ribosomal RNA is filed under the name uncultured bacterium. RNAcentral describes it as "partial 16S ribosomal RNA". It matches the Rfam family "Bacterial small subunit ribosomal RNA", at positions 28 to 507 of the family's 1533-position model. The record is from RNAcentral.